This 253-nucleotide ribosomal RNA is filed under the name uncultured bacterium. Its description in RNAcentral is "partial 16S ribosomal RNA". It matches the Rfam family "Bacterial small subunit ribosomal RNA", at positions 524 to 776 of the family's 1533-position model. The record is from RNAcentral.
UACAGAGGGUGCAAGCGUUGUUCGGAAUUAUUGGGCGUAAAGCGCACGUAGGCGGAUCGUUAAGUCGGGGGUGAAAUCCUGGAGCUCAACUCCAGAACUGCCUUCGAUACUGGCGAUCUCGAGUCCGGAAGAGGUGAGUGGAACUCCUAGUGUAGAGGUGGAAUUCGUAGAUAUUAGGAAGAACACCAGUGGCGAAGGCGACUCACUGGUCCGGUACUGACGCUGAGGUGCGAAAGCGUGGGGAGCAAACAGG